GACGUAGGGCGCGAGCGUUGUCCGGAUUUAUUGGGCGUAAAGAGCUCGUAGGCGGCUCGUCGCGUCGGUUGUGAAAAUCCACGGCUUAACUGUGGGCUUGCAGCCGAUACGGGUGGGCUAGAGUUCGGUAGGGGAGACUGGAAUUCCUGGUGUAGCGGUGAAAUGCGCAGAUAUCAGGAGGAACACCGGUGGCGAAGGCGGGUCUCUGGGCCGAUACUGACGCUGAGGAGCGAAAGCGUGGGGAGCGAACAGG
RNAcentral lists this ribosomal RNA (253 nucleotides) under uncultured bacterium. Its description in RNAcentral is "partial 16S ribosomal RNA". It matches the Rfam family "Bacterial small subunit ribosomal RNA", at positions 524 to 776 of the family's 1533-position model. The record is from RNAcentral.